RNAcentral lists this long non-coding RNA (220 nucleotides) under Nicotiana benthamiana. RNAcentral describes it as "long non-coding RNA (NBEN_LNC000653)". The record is from RNAcentral. Lineage: Eukaryota; Viridiplantae; Streptophyta; Magnoliopsida; Solanales; Solanaceae.
CCCAUCUUCACUACCUCAUUGAAUGAUUUACCCACAGAAGUCACUAAGUGACCGAAGUAUGUAGGUUCCAACGUUUGUAGAAAAUAAUCUACCAUCUCGUUUUCCCUCAUUGGGGAUCCACUCUUGCAGCUUGCUCUCUCCAUCAAAACCCAAACUCUUUAAAACUUUCUCCUGGCUUCUUCUCAAACUUCAGCAAUGACAGCCGAUCAGGGACUAUCUC